Molecule: ribosomal RNA, 451 nt
Filed under: uncultured bacterium
Lineage: Bacteria
Description: bacterial SSU rRNA
Rfam family: Bacterial small subunit ribosomal RNA
Source: RNAcentral
UAAUACAUCGGAACGUGUCCAGUAAUGGGGGAUAACUUAGCGAAAGUUAGGCUAAUACCGCAUACGAUCUGCGGAUGAAAGCGGGGGAUGCAGCAAUAAAAGAUUCUGGCAGAGUACAGUCAAAGGCAAUCCAAGAGUUUUUGCUGCUGCACCUCGCGUUAUUGGAGCGGAUGAUGUAUGAUUAGCUAGUUGGUGAGGUAAUGGCUUACCAAGGCGACGAUCAUUAGCUGGUCUGAGAGGACGGCCAGCCACACUGGGAUUGAGACACGGCCCAGACUCAUACGGGAGGCAGCAGUGGGGAAUUUUGCACAAUGCCCGAAAGGGUGAUGCAGCAACGCCGCGUGAGGGAUGAAGGCAUUCGGGUCGUAAACCUCUUUCGACCGGGAAAAACGCCCCGAUGAAGAAUCGGGGCUGAUGGUACCGGUGGAAGAAGCCCCAGGCCAAAUACGUG